Molecule: long non-coding RNA, 336 nt
Organism: Terrapene triunguis (Three-toed box turtle)
Lineage: Eukaryota; Metazoa; Chordata; Testudines; Emydidae
Exons: 4
Source: RefSeq, a predicted model, not a curated record
GAAAAUGUCUCCACGCGGCAGCUGUAGAGCACGGACCGUUUCCCAGGUCUCUCCUCCCCUGUUGUUGGUGCCUGAAGAAGCCUAAAAAGCUACAGAAAAGCCAAGAAAUGUAUCCUAAGUACUGCAUUAAAAUGAAACAUCCCAAGAGACAGUAUGUCUGGGCAAAAAGGUUCUUAUGAAAACUCAGACUCUGGAAUCUGUCAAGCCUACAUUGACUUAUAUAAACAACUGACAGUUUUGAAAACUAUCUUUAAAGUGAUGGAGACAAGGUACUUGGAGGACUAAGGUUCCCCCUUAACUAUAACAAAAGCUUCAGAAUGCCUUGGAAUACAAGUC